This 2663-nucleotide ribosomal RNA is filed under the name Campylobacter coli. RNAcentral's name for it is "partial 23S ribosomal RNA". It matches the Rfam family "Bacterial large subunit ribosomal RNA". The record is from RNAcentral. Lineage: Bacteria; Pseudomonadati; Campylobacterota; Epsilonproteobacteria; Campylobacterales; Campylobacteraceae.
AAGAGGGCAAACCCAGUGCUUGCACUGGGGGUUGUAGGACUGCAAUGUGCAAGAGCUGAGUUUAGCAGAACAUUCUGGAAAGUAUAGCCAUAGAGGGUGAUAGUCCCGUAUGCGAAAAACAAACCUUAGCUAGCAGUAUCCUGAGUAGGGCGGGACACGAGAAAUCCUGUCUGAAGCUGGGUCGACCACGAUCCAACCCUAAAUACUAAUACCAGAUCGAUAGUGCACAAGUACCGUGAGGGAAAGGUGAAAAGAACUGAGGUGAUCAGAGUGAAAUAGAACCUGAAACCAUUUGCUUACAAUCAUUCAGAGCCCUAUGUAGCAAUACAGGGUGAUGGACUGCCUUUUGCAUAAUGAGCCUGCGAGUUGUGGUGUCUGGCAAGGUUAAGCAAACGCGAAGCCGUAGCGAAAGCGAGUCUGAAUAGGGCGCUUAGUCAGAUGCUGCAGACCCGAAACGAAGUGAUCUAUCCAUGAGCAAGUUGAAGCUAGUGUAAGAACUAGUGGAGGACUGAACCCAUAGGCGUUGAAAAGCCCCGGGAUGACUUGUGGAUAGGGGUGAAAGGCCAAUCAAACUUCGUGAUAGCUGGUUCUCUCCGAAAUAUAUUUAGGUAUAGCGUUGUGUCGUAAUAUAAGGGGGUAGAGCACUGAAUGGGCUAGGGCAUACACCAAUGUACCAAACCCUAUCAAACUCCGAAUACCUUAUAUGUAAUCACAGCAGUCAGGCGGCGAGUGAUAAAAUCCGUCGUCAAGAGGGAAACAACCCAGACUACCAGCUAAGGUCCCUAAAUCUUACUUAAGUGGAAAACGAUGUGAAGUUACUUAAACAACCAGGAGGUUGGCUUAGAAGCAGCCAUCCUUUAAAGAAAGCGUAAUAGCUCACUGGUCUAGUGAUUUUGCGCGGAAAAUAUAACGGGGCUAAAGUAAGUACCGAAGCUGUAGACUUGAUUUUAUCAAGUGGUAGGAGAGCGUUCUAUUUGCGCCGAAGGUAUACCGGUAAGGAGUGCUGGAGCGAAUAGAAGUGAGCAUGCAGGCAUGAGUAGCGAUAAUUAAUGUGAGAAUCAUUAACGCCGUAAACCCAAGGUUUCCUACGCGAUGCUCGUCAUCGUAGGGUUAGUCGGGUCCUAAGUCGAGUCCGAAAGGGGUAGACGAUGGCAAAUUGGUUAAUAUUCCAAUACCAACAUUAGUGUGCGAUGGAAGGACGCUUAGGGCUAAGGGGGCUAGCGGAUGGAAGUGCUAGUCUAAGGUCGUAGGAGGUUAUACAGGCAAAUCCGUAUAACAAUACUCCGAGAACUGAAAGGCUUUUUGAAGUCUUCGGAUGGAUAGAAGAACCCCUGAUGCCGUCGAGCCAAGAAAAGUUUCUAAGUUUAGCUAAUGUUGCCCGUACCGUAAACCGACACAGGUGGGUGGGAUGAGUAUUCUAAGGCGCGUGGAAGAACUCUCUUUAAGGAACUCUGCAAAAUAGCACCGUAUCUUCGGUAUAAGGUGUGGUUCGCUUCGUAUUAGGAUUUACUCCGAAAGCGAAGAAACUUACAACAAAGAGUCCCUCCCGACUGUUUACCAAAAACACAGCACUCUGCUAACUCGUAAGAGGAUGUAUAGGGUGUGACGCCUGCCCGGUGCUCGAAGGUUAAUUGAUGGGGUUAGCAUUAGCGAAGCUCUUGAUCGAAGCCCGAGUAAACGGCGGCCGUAACUAUAACGGUCCUAAGGUAGCGAAAUUCCUUGUCGGUUAAAUACCGACCUGCAUGAAUGGCGUAACGAGAUGGGAGCUGUCUCAAAGAGGGAUCCAGUGAAAUUGUAGUGGAGGUGAAAAUUCCUCCUACCCGCGGCAAGACGGAAAGACCCCGUGGACCUUUACUACAGCUUGACACUGCUAUUUGGAUAAGAAUGUGCAGGAUAGGUGGGAGGCUUUGAGUAUAUGACGCCAGUUGUAUAUGAGCCAUUGUUGAGAUACCACUCUUUCUUAUUUGGGUAGCUAACCAGCUUGAGUUAUCCUCAAGUGGGACAAUGUCUGGUGGGUAGUUUGACUGGGGCGGUCGCCUCCCAAAUAAUAACGGAGGCUUACAAAGGUUGGCUCAGAACGGUUGGAAAUCGUUCGUAGAGUAUAAAGGUAUAAGCCAGCUUAACUGCAAGACAUACAAGUCAAGCAGAGACGAAAGUCGGUCUUAGUGAUCCGGUGGUUCUGUGUGGAAGGGCCAUCGCUCAAAGGAUAAAAGGUACCCCGGGGAUAACAGGCUGAUCUCCCCCAAGAGCUCACAUCGACGGGGAGGUUUGGCACCUCGAUGUCGGCUCAUCGCAUCCUGGGGCUGGAGCAGGUCCCAAGGGUAUGGCUGUUCGCCAUUUAAAGCGGUACGCGAGCUGGGUUCAGAACGUCGUGAGACAGUUCGGUCCCUAUCUGCCGUGGGCGUAAGAAGAUUGAAGAGAUUUGACCCUAGUACGAGAGGACCGGGUUGAACAAACCACUGGUGUAGCUGUUGUUCUGCCAAGAGCAUCGCAGCGUAGCUAAGUUUGGAAAGGAUAAACGCUGAAAGCAUCUAAGCGUGAAGCCAACUCUAAGAUGAAUCUUCUCUAAGCUCUCUAGAAGACUACUAGUUUGAUAGGCUGGGUGUGUAAUGGAUGAAAGUCCUUUAGCUGACCAGUACUAAUAGAGCGUUUGGCUUAUCUUU